This 479-nucleotide ribosomal RNA is filed under the name uncultured bacterium. Its description in RNAcentral is "partial 16S ribosomal RNA". It matches the Rfam family "Bacterial small subunit ribosomal RNA", at positions 28 to 507 of the family's 1533-position model. The record is from RNAcentral.
GAUGAACGCUGGCGGCGUGCUUAACACAUGCAAGUCGAGCGAGAAGUUUUGAAAAGAUUCUUCGGAUGAAAUUUAAAAUGGAAAGCGGCGGACGGGUGAGUAACGCGUAGGCAACCUGCCCCAUACAAAGGGAUAGCAUUUGGAAACGAAUAUUAAUACCUUAUGAAACUUAACUAGUGCAUGCUAGGUAGGUCAAAGAUUUAUCGGUAUGGGAUGGGCCUGCGUCUGAUUAGCUAGUUGGUGAGGUAACGGCUCACCAAGGCGACGAUCAGUAGCCGGCCUGAGAGGGUGAACGGCCACAUUGGAACUGAGACACGGUCCAAACUCCUACGGGAGGCAGCAGUGGGGAAUAUUGCACAAUGGGGGAAACCCUGAUGCAGCAACGCCGCGUGAACGAUGAAGGCCUUUGGGUCGUAAAGUUCUGUUCUAGGUGAUGAAAACUGACAGUAACCUAGGAGAAAGCCCCGGCUAACUCCGUG